GAUGAACGCUAGCUACAGGCUUAACACAUGCAAGUCGAGGGGAAACGACAUCGAAAGCUUGCUUUUGAUGGGCGUCGACCGGCGCACGGGUGAGUAACGCGUAUCCAACCUGCCCACCACUUGGGGAUAACCUUGCGAAAGUAAGACUAAUACCCGAUGAUAUCUCUAUAAGACAUCUGAAAGGGAUUAAAGAUUUAUCGGUGAUGGAUGGGGAUGCGUCUGAUUAGCUUGUUGGCGGGGUAACGGCCCACCAAGGCGACGAUCAGUAGGGGUUCUGAGAGGAAGGUCCCCCACAUUGGAACUGAGACACGGUCCAAACUCCUACGGGAGGCAGCAGUGAGGAAUAUUGGUCAAUGGGCGAGAGCCUGAACCAGCCAAGUAGCGUGCAGGAGGACGGCCCUAUGGGUUGUAAACUGCUUUUAUAAGGGAAUAAAGUGAGUCUCGUGAGACUUUUUGCAUGUACCUUAUGAAUAAGGACCGGCUAAUUCCGUG
RNAcentral lists this ribosomal RNA (492 nucleotides) under uncultured bacterium. RNAcentral describes it as "partial 16S ribosomal RNA". It matches the Rfam family "Bacterial small subunit ribosomal RNA", at positions 28 to 507 of the family's 1533-position model. The record is from RNAcentral.